RNAcentral lists this ribosomal RNA (371 nucleotides) under uncultured bacterium. Its description in RNAcentral is "bacterial SSU rRNA". It matches the Rfam family "Bacterial small subunit ribosomal RNA", at positions 527 to 896 of the family's 1533-position model. The record is from RNAcentral.
GUAGGUGACAAGCGUUGUCCGGAUUUACUGGGCGUAAAGAGCGCGCAGGCGGUCGUUCAAGUCGAGUGUGAAAGCCCCCGGCUCAACUGGGGAGGGUCAUUCGAUACUGAUCGACUCGAAGGCAGGAGAGGGUAGUGGAAUUCCCGGUGUAGUGGUGAAAUGCGUAGAUAUCGGGAGGAACACCAGUGGCGAAGGCGACUACCUGGCCUGUUCUUGACGCUGAGGCGCGAAAGCUAGGGGAGCAAACGGGAUUAGAUACCCCGGUAGUCCUAGCCGUAAACGAUGGACACUAGGUGUUGGUGGUAUCAACCCCGCCAGUGCCGAAGCUAACGCAUUAAGUGUCCCGCCUGGGGAGUACGGCCGCAAGGCUA